This 378-nucleotide unclassified non-coding RNA is filed under the name plant metagenome. Its description in RNAcentral is "partial contains 5.8S ribosomal RNA, internal transcribed spacer 2, and large subunit ribosomal RNA". The stretch from base 1 to 105 matches the Rfam family "5.8S ribosomal RNA", at positions 50 to 154 of the family's 154-position model. The record is from RNAcentral.
GAAAUGCGAUAAGUAAUGUGAAUUGCAGAAUUCAGUGAAUCAUCGAAUCUUUGAACGCACCUUGCGCUCCUUGGUAUUCCUUGGAGCAUGCCUGUUUGAGUAUCAUGAAAUCUUCAAAGUAAAUCUUUUGUUAAGUCAAUUGGUUUCUACUUUGGUAUUGGAGGUCUUUGCAGCUUCACACCUGCUCCUCUUUGUUCAUUAGCUGGAUCUCAGUGUUAUGCUUGGUUCCACUCGGCGUGAUAAGUUAUCUAUCGCUGAGGACACUGUAAAAGGUGGCCAAGGUAAAUGCAGAUGAACCGCUUCUAAUAGUCCAUUGACUUGGACAAUACUUUUAUGAUCUGAUCUCAAAUCAGGUAGGACUACCCGCUGAACUUAAGC